UACGGAGGGUGCAAGCGUUAUCCGGAUUCACUGGGUUUAAAGGGUGCGUAGGUGGGCUGGUAAGUCCGUGGUGAAAUCCCCGAGCUUAACUCGGGAACUGCCGUGGAUACUAUUAGUCUUGAAUAUCGUGGAGGUAAGCGGAAUAUGUCAUGUAGCGGUGAAAUGCUUAGAUAUGACAUAGAACACCGAUAGCGGAGGCAGCUUACUACGCGAUUAUUGACACUGAGGCACGAAAGCGUGGGGAUCAAACAGG
Molecule: ribosomal RNA, 253 nt
Filed under: uncultured bacterium
Lineage: Bacteria
Description: partial 16S ribosomal RNA
Rfam family: Bacterial small subunit ribosomal RNA
Source: RNAcentral